This 1688-nucleotide long non-coding RNA is filed under the name Pan troglodytes (chimpanzee). Its description in RNAcentral is "lincRNA". The record is from RNAcentral. Lineage: Eukaryota; Metazoa; Chordata; Mammalia; Primates; Hominidae.
GGGGUGCUUCAGCAGCAGUGCAAUGACGAGCAUGCACAGGAUUGAUUGUAUUUUCCUUGGAUGGCUUUCUUGAGCCUUGGAAAUCUGGCUCACUGGGAAUUCUAGGCUUCUGUUGUCCCUUGCUUCCUAUCUCCAGCUGCAAUUAUAAAGAUGCACACACACAAAAGAGAAAGAGGAGCAGAAAGAGUGAAGAAAACAUGUCCAUUUAUCAGAAAAUAAAUAUACAAGUACAAUAGAAGAAAAAGGGGUAGAAAACAUUUUGAAGAUUUAGAAAGGUAGAAGAAAAGGGGGUAGAAAACAUUUUGAAGAUUUAGAAAGAUCCUUCGAGUCCUAUCUCAGAAAAGAGAGAAAUGGCUUAUCCAAUAUUUAAGCAGAGACAAAUGGCAUAUGAAGAGGACUUAUCAGGGCAGUGGAGAGAAUUGGUGAUGAAAAUUGGUAGGGGACCAAAAGCACAAUGAUGCCUUUCUUUUUACUCACAUUUGGUGACAUCCAUAGUGAGAAACAGCAGUUCCACUGUCCAACACCAGGAAAUGUUCUGACUGCUUCACCACUCCAACUAAUACUUACAGAGGUGUGGCCUAUUCCCACUUGUACUGGGGGCUUUAGAAUCCGACUCCUUACAUUCCUAAGACUAAAAGACAUUUUGUGCUAUUUUAUGUUCUGAGAAGGAUUGAUUACCACAAAGACAGAUCUAUAGAGAAUGUGAGUGGAAACUAUACGAGCUGCUAAUGGGACAAGGCAUUUAAGAAUCAUCCGAGUUCUUCUCUUCUUGCUGGCUGGAGCUAAGAAUUCAAGAACAAACACCAGCAAAGAGAUUCAAUACAAAUAUCCAAUUUUGAGAUAAGGGACGGAUAACCAUAGUGUGAGUUGAGCCACAGAAAUGUGGAUGAAUUCAAUAAAUAUUUGGAUGAUUGUUUAACAUUACUUCCUAAUUGAUGGGAAUAAAAAAGUAUAACAAAGAGAAGAAAUCAAGGCUGCAGCAUGACAAAAGGUUUAUAUUUUAACUUCAAGAGAUCACACAUACUCUGUUUUUUCCUCUACUGAAAGAUUAGACUAACAAUCCAAUUUACCUGGACAAAAUAAGUUUCUGGGAGAUUCUGAAAGUUUGUUAUCUUCCUUAUCCUUGCCUUUUUGUAUUUGAGAAUUAUAUCACCAUUCUCACCAUUCUAGGAUGUUUUCACUAAUAAUUUUUGAGAUUUAAUUUAUAAAUAUCAAGCUUCCUGGUUCUUGAAACCUACCCAUAGUUAACAACUGAUUCCUAGUUCUAGGGUUAACAACUGAUUCCUAGUUUCAGGGUUUCCCUGAAUAUUAUCUUUAUGCCAGCUUUAUAGCAUUUUGGAAGGCUCAUUUAUCCCACAUUAUGAUAUUCUCCUGCUUUCAAUUUCUCUGUGUCUUCUCGUUUCUCUUAAGGCUAAGCUGGACAUUGCAAACAGGGUAGUCUCUUCUAUCUUGCCCAGCCUUUUCUCCUAUCCCAUUUUUGCAUUCUCUCUAUUCUCUGAUCACAGAAUUGUUUUCAUUUCUGAAGGUACAACUAGUGUCACAUCUUAUGCACAUGCUGUUCCCUUUACUAGGAUUAUACUUUCCCUUAAAUUAUCUACCCUUUGCUUGCUUUAUUCUGACUUAACUUCAGAUUAUGGCUCAAAUGUAUUUCCUCAUAGAAUUCUUCCUUGACACCUCAUAAUAAAUAA